CUAAUGGUUAGUGGUUAUAAUUCUGGUACGUCCGUUUUUCUUUUUUUACAUGUAAAACAAAGUAUCAAAAAAGGAAGAAAUUCUUUUGAUACAGAUGACCAAUGUUAUAUAUUAUGAGUAAAACUCAUAUUUAGUGGUUCGAUUUAUAAGAUAUCUAUAUGAAUAACAGAUGACAAGUAUACCAUGUGACAGCAACCAAACAACCAAAAAUAAAAGACACUGAGAGCUCAACAUUAGGCCUAUAAUGAAUGCUCUAGUGUCUUAACCAUGUGUUAAGCUUGACAUUACUUCAUAAUCUGCCAUUCACAAUGACCCACAAAGGACAGUUAUAAAAGUUCACUAUAAAGACAACCAAUUGUAAAGGCUGAAGAAUAAAAACAACC
RNAcentral lists this long non-coding RNA (383 nucleotides) under Mytilus galloprovincialis (Mediterranean mussel). Lineage: Eukaryota; Metazoa; Mollusca; Bivalvia; Mytilida; Mytilidae. The record is from RNAcentral.